This 236-nucleotide unclassified non-coding RNA is filed under the name plant metagenome. Its description in RNAcentral is "partial contains small subunit ribosomal RNA, internal transcribed spacer 1, and 5.8S ribosomal RNA". The record is from RNAcentral.
UUUCCGUAGGUGAACCUGCGGAAGGAUCAUUACCGAGCGAGGGCCCUCUGGGUCCAACCUCCCACCCGUGUCUCUUGUACCUCGUUGGUUCCGCCGGCCCGCCUCACGGCCGCCGGGGGGCAUCUCGCCCCCGGGGCCGCGCCCGCCGAACACACCCACGAACUCUGUCUGAAGAAUGCAGUCUGAGUGAAAUGAUAAAUUAUUUAAAACUUUCAACAACGGAUCUCUUGGUUCCG